Molecule: ribosomal RNA, 497 nt
Filed under: uncultured bacterium
Lineage: Bacteria
Description: partial 16S ribosomal RNA
Rfam family: Bacterial small subunit ribosomal RNA
Source: RNAcentral
GAUGAACGCUGGCGGCGUGCCUAAUACAUGCAAGUCGAGCGAACAGAUAAGGAGCUUGCUCCUUUGACGUUAGCGGCGGACGGGUGAGUAACACGUGGGUAACCUACCUAUAAGACUGGAAUAACUCCGGGAAACCGGGGCUAAUGCCGGAUAACAUUUAGAACCGCAUGGUUCUAAAGUGAAAGAUGGUUUUGCUAUCACUUAUAGAUGGACCCGCGCCGUAUUAGCUAGUUGGUAAGGUAACGGCUUACCAAGGCAACGAUACGUAGCCGACCUGAGAGGGUGAUAGGCCACACUGGAACUGAAACACGGUCCAGACUCCUACGGGAGGCAGCAGUAGGGAAUCUUCCGCAAUGGGCGAAAGCCUGACGGAGCAACGCCGCGUGAGUGAUGAAGGUCUUCGGAUCGUAAAACUCUGUUAUUAGGGAAGAACAAAUGUGUAAGUAACUAUGCACGUCUUGACGGUACCUAAUCAGAAAGCCACGGCUAACUACGUG